CACUCCCUCGUUCUCCUCCCAUUCCUCCCACUCUCUUAUCCACACUACAGAACAUCAGAUGCCAGCGUUGGGCAGGCGGGGACGGCGGCGAAGGCCUCCGGCGGUCGGAGCAGGUCGCCGGGCGUGGGGAUGGUGAGCGGCAUGGCUAGGCUCCAGCGACCGCGGGCAUCUCCUCCACCGCACCCCCACCAUGGACGGCCGGCCCCGAACUCCUUCGACGCCGCAUCCCUGCCAUGGACGGCCGGUCCCCAAAUCCUCCGACGCCGCAUCCUUGCAGGUCAUCCAACGCUGCAUCCCUCGCCAUGGACGCCCGGCCCCAAACUCCUCCGCCUGGGACCUUUGGGUAGGCGGGAUGGGCUCAAGGCCGCGGUGGUGGCCGGAGGAGAUCCGGUGGUGCCUCGGUGGUAGCGGCAGCGAGGGCGUGGCACUGGCUAUAGGGGGCGCUCCAUGCGGGAUCCUUCCCGAGAGCGAGGGGCUGCUGAGGCUCUUCGGCUGGUCCCGCCGCUCAUGGAGCCGCCCGCCUCCGAGUCCUUGGUGGCACACUCCCCAUCCAUCGCUUUCGGAGCGGUGGGGAUGACGGGUCGCUGCCUGCUGACGGUGAUGGCGCGUGCCUCGACGACGGGCCGACGAGGACUCGAGCCGCCGUGCCAUUCAAGCCCUCUUCGGCUGCUCCGACCGCCUCGACCAAGCGGUCAUGGUCGCAGCGGCCGCCGCCCAGAUGAUCGCGCUUGUCGUCUACGUCCAGCUCUUCAGCGUGGCCAUCAACUCGCUCUCAUGGUCACCAGCUAUCUGAACCAUCAAGCAGGAAAAAGGCCGGGCCCGGUUGGUGGGGGCGUUCGGGAUGAGGCGUUCUCCUCCCGAACGAGCGUACUCGUUCGAUCGAUCCUCCUCCCGUCCCGAACGUGACGUUCGGUCUGGGGUGCUCCCAGACCGAAUGGUCACACGUUAUCGGGGUAUAUGUGUUAAUUCACUGAACUGGUCUAAAACAAACAAAAAAAGUCAAAUUCCUUUAGCAUGGGACCUGCUAGUGAAAUUUUCCAAAUACCCAUUUUGACAGUAGCAUGGCAAUUUUUAUAAGUAUGUACAUCAUGGCGUUUUUAGCUC
Molecule: long non-coding RNA, 1104 nt
Organism: Triticum dicoccoides
Lineage: Eukaryota; Viridiplantae; Streptophyta; Magnoliopsida; Poales; Poaceae
Exons: 2
Source: RefSeq, a predicted model, not a curated record